GAUGAACGCUGGCGGCGUGCUUAACACAUGCAAGUCGAACGGAAAGGCCCAAGCUUGCUUGGGUACUCGAGUGGCGAACGGGUGAGUAACACGUGGGUGAUCUGCCCUGCACUUCGGGAUAAGCCUGGGAAACUGGGUCUAAUACCGGAUAGGACCACAUUUUGGAUGGUGUGGUGGAAAGUUUUUCGGUGUGGGAUGAGCUCGCGGCCUAUCAGCUUGUUGGUGGGGUAAUGGCCUACCAAGGCGUCGACGGGUAGCCGGCCUGAGAGGGUGUACGGCCACAUUGGGACUGAGAUACGGCCCAGACUCCUACGGGAGGCAGCAGUGGGGAAUAUUGCACAAUGGGCGCAAGCCUGAUGCAGCGACGCCGCGUGGGGGAUGACGGCCUUCGGGUUGUAAACUCCUUUCGCUAGGGACGUAGCGUUAUGUGACGGUACCUGGAGAAGAAGCACCGGCUAACUACGUG
Molecule: ribosomal RNA, 466 nt
Filed under: uncultured bacterium
Lineage: Bacteria
Description: partial 16S ribosomal RNA
Rfam family: Bacterial small subunit ribosomal RNA
Source: RNAcentral